CCUUGACAUCCAGAGAACUUAGCAGAGAUGCUUUGGUGCCUUCGGGAACUCUGAGACAGGUGCUGCAUGGCUGUCGUCAGCUCGUGUUGUGAAAUGUUGGGUUAACGUCCGCAACGAGCGCAACCCUUAUCCUUUGUUGCCAGCGGUUCGGCCGGGAACUCAAAGGAGACUGCCGGUGAUAAACCGGAGGAAGGUGGGGAUGACGUCAAGUCAUCAUGGCCCUUACGGCCAGGGCUACACACGUGCUACAAUGGCGCAUACAAAGAGAAGCGACCUCGCGAGAGCAAGCGGACCUCAUAAAGUGCGUCGUAGUCCGGAUUGGAGUCUGCAACUCGACUCCAUGAAGUCGGAAUCGCUAGUAAUCGUAGAUCAGAAUGCUACGGUGAAUACGUUCCCGGGCCUUGUACACACCGCCCGUCACACCAUGGGAGUGGGUUGCAAAAGAAGUAGGUAGCUUAACCUUCGGGAGGGCGCUUACCACUUUGUGAUUCAUGACUGGGGUGAAGUCGUAACAAGGUAGGCGUAGACGU
RNAcentral lists this ribosomal RNA (530 nucleotides) under uncultured bacterium. Its description in RNAcentral is "bacterial SSU rRNA". It matches the Rfam family "Bacterial small subunit ribosomal RNA", at positions 979 to 1509 of the family's 1533-position model. The record is from RNAcentral.